CUGCCUAAGGGAGCNAGUCGAGCGAAUCAAAGGGAGCUUGCUCCCUGAGAUUAGCUGCCGACGGGUGAGUAACAAAUGGGUAACCUGCCUGUAAGACUGGGAUAACUUCGGGAAACCGGAGCUAACACCGGAUACUUUCUUUUCUCGCAUGAGGGAAGAUGGAAAGAUGGUUCUGCUAUCACUUACAGAUGGACCCGCGGCGCAUUAGCUAGUUGGUGAGGUAACGGCUCACCAAGGCAACGAUGCGUAGCCGACCUGAGAGGGUGAUCGGCCACACUGGGACUGAGACACGGCCCAGACUC
Molecule: small RNA, 302 nt
Filed under: uncultured bacterium
Lineage: Bacteria
Description: bacterial SSU rRNA
Rfam family: Bacterial small subunit ribosomal RNA
Source: RNAcentral